AUCGCUUCUCGGCCUUUUGGCUAAGAUCAAGUGUAGUAUCUGUUCUUAUCAGUUUAAUAUCUGAUACGUACCCACAUUGUGGUACCUUAUAUUAAAUUGAUUUUUGGGACAGGGAGAUGGAAUAGGGGCUAGCUCCGUCCACUCCGCGCAUCAACCCGGUAUUGCAGUUUCUCCGGGAAUGGUGCACCUCCC
Molecule: small nuclear RNA, 192 nt
Filed under: Petromyzon marinus (sea lamprey)
Lineage: Eukaryota; Metazoa; Chordata; Hyperoartia; Petromyzontiformes; Petromyzontidae
Description: U2 spliceosomal RNA (ENSPMAG00000011525.1)
Rfam family: U2 spliceosomal RNA
About the family: U2 is a small nuclear RNA (snRNA) component of the spliceosome (involved in pre-mRNA splicing). Complementary binding between U2 snRNA (in an area lying towards the 5' end but 3' to hairpin I) and the branchpoint sequence (BPS) of the intron results the bulging out of an unpaired adenosine, on the BPS, which initiates a nucleophilic attack at the intronic 5' splice site, thus starting the first of two transesterification reactions that mediate splicing.
Source: RNAcentral